AGCAACGACGCAACGCGGCAACUUGCGACUGCAGCCUGAGUUAUUGGUGGCGUCUCGUAAUUGAUAAUAUUGAAUGCAGCGCAUUGCCAAGCGAAAUCCAUUACUAAGCUCGCUCGGAGUUGCGUUUCUUAACGACGACGACGACGACGUCGCUUCGAGAACUCUUUCUCUCCGGCCACAA
Molecule: long non-coding RNA, 181 nt
Organism: Drosophila albomicans
Lineage: Eukaryota; Metazoa; Arthropoda; Insecta; Diptera; Drosophilidae
Exons: 3
Source: RefSeq, a predicted model, not a curated record